Molecule: ribosomal RNA, 253 nt
Filed under: uncultured bacterium
Lineage: Bacteria
Description: partial 16S ribosomal RNA
Rfam family: Bacterial small subunit ribosomal RNA
Source: RNAcentral
UACGGAGGGGGCAAGCGUUGUCCGGAAUUAUUGGGCGUAAAGAGCUUGUAGGCGGUCUGUCGCGUCUGCUGUGAAAAUCCGGGGCUCAACCCCGGACUUGCAGUGGGUACGGGCAGACUAGAGUGUGGUAGGGGAGACUGGAAUUCCUGGUGUAGCGGUGAAAUGCGCAGAUAUCAGGAGGAACACCGAUGGCGAAGGCAGGUCUCUGGGCCACUACUGACGCUGAGAAGCGAAAGCAUGGGGAGCGAACAGG